Molecule: ribosomal RNA, 253 nt
Filed under: uncultured bacterium
Lineage: Bacteria
Description: partial 16S ribosomal RNA
Rfam family: Bacterial small subunit ribosomal RNA
Source: RNAcentral
UACGUAGGGUGCGAGCGUUGUCCGGAAUUAUUGGGCGUAAAGGGCUCGUAGGCGGUCUGUCGCGUCGGGAGUGAAAACUCAGGGCUUAACCCUGAGCCUGCUUCCGAUACGGGCAGACUAGAGGUAUGCAGGGGAGAACGGAAUUCCUGGUGUAGCGGUGAAAUGCGCAGAUAUCAGGAGGAACACCGGUGGCGAAGGCGGUUCUCUGGGCAUUACCUGACGCUGAGGGGCGAAAGUGUGGGGAGCGAACAGG